UUUCAUAAUUCAUCGUAGAAAGAGCAAUUGAUACUAAAACACAAACUCGUUAAAGACAUACACACUGAAUUUCAUGAAUACGACGACGGCGGGGCUCGAUGAAGAAGACGACGAACUCGUUAAAGACAGACACGGUGAAGCUCAUAAAUACAGCAACGACAUGUUUGAGGAAGACGAAAGAGAAGCUUGACGAAGAAGACGACGAACUCGUUAAAGACGGACACCGUGAAACUCAUGAAUACGGCGACGGCGGAUCUCCACGAGAGAGAAGAUAGAUCUG
RNAcentral lists this long non-coding RNA (280 nucleotides) under Brassica napus (rape). RNAcentral describes it as "long non-coding RNA (BNAP_LNC003545)". Lineage: Eukaryota; Viridiplantae; Streptophyta; Magnoliopsida; Brassicales; Brassicaceae. The record is from RNAcentral.